Molecule: ribosomal RNA, 492 nt
Filed under: uncultured bacterium
Lineage: Bacteria
Description: partial 16S ribosomal RNA
Rfam family: Bacterial small subunit ribosomal RNA
Source: RNAcentral
AGUGAACGCUGGCGGUAGGCCUAACACAUGCAAGUCGAACGACAGCACAGUAAGAGCUUGCUCUUACGGGUGGCGAGUGGCGGACGGGUGAGGAAUACAUCGGAAUCUGCUUUUUCGUGGGGGAUAACGUAGGGAAACUUACGCUAAUACCGCAUACGACCUACGGGUGAAAGCAGGGGAUCUUCGGACCUUGCGCGAUUGAAUGAGCCGAUGUCGGAUUAGCUAGUUGGCGGGGUAAAGGCCCACCAAGGCGACGAUCCGUAGCUGGUCUGAGAGGAUGAUCAGCCACACUGGAACUGAGACACGGUCCAGACUCCUACGGGAGGCAGCAGUGGGGAAUAUUGGACAAUGGGCGCAAGCCUGAUCCAGCCAUACCGCGUGGGUGAAGAAGGCCUUCGGGUUGUAAAGCCCUUUUGUUGGGAAAGAAAAGCAGCAGGUUAAUACCCCGCUGUUCUGACGGUACCCAAAGAAUAAGCACCGGCUAACUUCGUG